RNAcentral lists this ribosomal RNA (1347 nucleotides) under Ceratomyxa carcharhini. Its description in RNAcentral is "SSU rRNA". It matches the Rfam family "Eukaryotic small subunit ribosomal RNA", at positions 367 to 1735 of the family's 1831-position model. Lineage: Eukaryota; Metazoa; Cnidaria; Myxozoa; Bivalvulida; Ceratomyxidae. The record is from RNAcentral.
GGAUCAGGGUUCGAUUCCGGAGAGGGAGCCUGAGAAACGGCUACCACAUCCAAGGAAGGCAGCAGGCGCGCAAAUUACCCAAUCCAGACAUUGGGAGGUAGUGACGAGAAAUACCUGAGUGGAUCAAUGAUGCGCUACAGGAAUGAACGUAAUCUAAUAAUUUCGAUGAGUAUCUACUGGAGGGCAAGUCUGGUGCCAGCAGCCGCGGUAAUUCCAGCUCCAGUAGUGUAUAUCAAAAUUGUUGCGGUUAAAACGCUCGUAGUUGGAUUACGGGGGCCUCGAUUGGUACAUCUCAGAGGUGUAUCAAGGUAGACCCUCUUCAUCGCAAGAUCUGUGUGCGGACUUUAUUGUUUGCAUGCAGGAACUUGCGGAGCGUGCCUUGAAUAAAGCAUAGUGCUCAAAGCAGGCGUACGCUCGAGUGUGAUAGCAUGGAACGAAUAGAUAAACCUCGGUUUAGUUUGUUGGUUAUGGCAGGCUUCGGUCUGAAUCUAAACUGGGUUUUGAUUAAAAGGGACACUUGAGGGCAUUAGUACUUUGUGGCGAGAGGUGAAAUUCUUUGACCCACAAAAGACUGACUAUUGCGAAAGCAUUUGCCAAGAAUGUUUUCAUUAAUCAAGAACGAAAGUCAGAGGUUCGAAGACGAUCAGAUACCGUCCUAGUUUUGACAGCAAACGAUGCUACCACGGGAUCAGUCCGGAACGAUCCAGGUUGGUCCCCCCGGGAAACCUCAAGGGUUCUAGUUCCGGGGGGAGUAUGGUCGCAAGGCUGAAACUUAAAGGAAUUGACGGAAGGGCACCACCAGGAGUGGAGCCUGCGGCUUAAUUUGACUCAACACGGGAAAACUCACCAGGUCCAGACAUUGAAAGGAUUGACAGACUGAGAGAUCUUUCAUGAUACAGUGAAUGGUGGUGCAUGGCCGUUCUUAGUUGGUGGAGUGAUCUGUCAGGUCUAUUCCGGUAACGAGCGAGACCACGAUCUCUAUUUGAUUGAUGCACUUGUGCUUCGGCGCAUACGUUUGUGUUUUAUCAUAGAGAGACUACCGGAGGUAAAGCCGGGGGAAGCGUGGCAAUAACAGGUCUGUGAUGCCCUUCGAUGUCCUGGGCUGCACGCGCGCUACAAUGGCAGUGACAAAGAGUUGCCCUGCUCUGAGAGGAGUGGGAAAUCUUGUAAAUCGCUGUCGUAAUUGGGAUUGAGCCUUGUAAUUAUUGCUCAUGAAAGAGGAAUUCCUCGUAAGCGUGAGUCACUAGCUCAUGUUGAAUACGUCUCUGCCCUUUGUACACACCGCCCGUCGCUACUACCGAUGAAUGUAGCUUCGAGAAGGUAGGAUUGGACGACCUGGUUCCAGGA